UGGCUAGUUGUUCAGCCAAUCCAGUGCGAAUGCGGAAAUGACGUAGGGACGCUAAAGAUGGCGUCAGAUUCAAACGGCUCGAAGGGUUGAUAGAGUCAUCAGCGGAGCCAUGCAGACAGAACCAGCGAGGCAGCGUGACUGGGUCAGACGGGGGGAGAAUGGGCAGAGCCGAGCGGAGCCGCAGGGGACCCAGCAGAGAGCUGAGAGGAACUCCAAGGAGGAGAAAGCAAGGCUGAAAGAGACGAUCAGCAUCCUGCAGACAGCGAGAGAGAAACCAGCAGGAGAGAGAGCGAGAAGGAGAACUGAAGGGGAAGAUGAGGAGGCAGGAGGAGAGC
This is a non-coding RNA of Labrus bergylta (ballan wrasse), 335 nucleotides long. NCBI's taxonomy places the organism in Eukaryota, Metazoa, Chordata, Actinopteri, Labriformes, Labridae. The record is from RefSeq and is a predicted model, not a curated record.